RNAcentral lists this ribosomal RNA (2144 nucleotides) under marine metagenome. Its description in RNAcentral is "bacterial LSU rRNA". It matches the Rfam family "Bacterial large subunit ribosomal RNA", at positions 296 to 2561 of the family's 2925-position model. The record is from RNAcentral.
CUAGGCCAGUAAUUUUGUUAAAAAAAUUUGAAUAGUUUGGAAAUGCUAACCAUAGAGGGUGAUAGUCCCGUAUGAGUAAUGUUUAACAAAAUUCUUGAGUAAAGCGGGACACGAGAAAUCUUGCUCGAAUAUAGGGGGACCACCCUCUAAGCCUAAAUACUCUUCAGUGACCGAUAGUGAACUAGUACCGUGAGGGAAAGGUGAAAAGAACCCCUAUUAGGGGAGUGAAAUAGAACCUGAAACUGCAUGCCUACAAUCAGUCCGAGCCUUUUUUAGGGUGAGGGCGUACCUUUUGUAUAAUGGGUCAGUGACUUAAUUUAUUAAGCAAGCUUAAGCCAUCUAGGUGUAGGCGCAGCGAAAGCAAGUCUUAAUAGGGCGAUUAGUUUAAUGAAUUAGACCCGAAAACGAAUGAGCUUACCAUGAGCAGGUUGAAAGUUGGGUAACACCAACCGGAGGACCGAACCAGUUGACGUUGAAAAGUCUUUGGAUGACUUGUGGUAAGGGGUGAAAGGCCAACCAAAUUCGUAGAUAGCUGGUUUUCCGCGAAAACUAUUUAGGUAGUGCGUUGAAUAAAUAGAUGUUUAGAGGUAGAGCACUAAAUGGGCUAGGGGGAAGAGAUUCUUACCAAACCUAAUAAAACUCCGAAUGCUAGACAUUGUUCUUCAACAGACAGACUGUGGGUGCUAAGGUCCAUGGUCGAGAGGGAAAGAGCCCAGACCACCAGAUAAGGUCCCAAAAUUAUGAUUAAGUGUGAAAGGAUGUGGAAAUUCCUUAACAGCCGGGAGGUUGGCUUAGAAGCAGCCAUCCUUUAAAGAUAGCGUAACAGCUCACCGGUCUAAUAGAGUUUCUGCGCCGAAGAUGUAACGGGGCUAAAAUCAUAUACCGAAUCUGUGGGUUUAUAAAACUUUCGAGUUUUAUAAGCGGUAGCGGAACGUUCUGUAAGCCUGUGAAGGGAUACCCGUGAGGGAUCCUGGAGGUAUCAGAAGUGCGAAUGCUGACAUAAGUAACGAUAAAAGAAGUGAAAAACUUCUUCGCCGAAAAUCUAAGGGUUUCUGCGCAAGGUUAAUCCGCGCAGAGUUAGUCGGCACCUAAGGCGAGGGCGAAAGCCGUAGUCGAUGGAAACAAGGUUAAUAUUCCUUGACCUGAUGGUAGUGACGGAUCUUGUAAGUUGUGAGUUCUUAAUGGAUUGAACUUGCCGCGAAAGGGUUCCAAGAAAUAGCUCCAUCAUUAAGACCGUACCCGAAACCGACACAGGUAGAUUAAUAGAGUAUAUUUAGGCGCUUGAGAGAAUGAUGUUGAAGGAACUCGGCAAAAUGCUUCCGUAACUUCGGGAUAAGGAAGACCUGUUUUUAGGCAACUAGAGAUGGGUGGCACAAGCCAGGGAGAAGCGACUGUUUAUCAAAAACACAGGGCUCUGCUAACACGUAAGUGGAUGUAUAGGGUCUGACGCCUGCCCGGUGCUGGAAGGUUAAUGCGGUUGGUGCAAGCUAACUUCUGAAGCCCCAGUAAACGGCGGCCGUAACUAUAACGGUCCUAAGGUAGCGAAAUUCCUUGUCGGGUAAGUUCCGACCUGCAUGAAUGGCGUAACGAUUUCUCCGCUGUCUCCAACAUCAACUCAGUGAAAUUGAAUUCUCCGUGAAGAUGCGGAGUUCGCGUAGUUAGACGGAAAGACCCCGUGCACCUUUACUGCAACUUUACAUUGGUGUUAGGAAAAACAUAUUUAGCAUAGGAGGGAGACAUUGAAGCGAAAGCGUCAGCUUUUGUGGAGUCACCAGUGAAAUACCUCUUUUGUUUUUCUUGACAUCUAACCGAUUGCCGUCAUCCGGCAUCGAGACAUUGUAUGGUGGGUAGUUUGACUGGGGCGGUCGCCUCCCAAAUAGUAACGGAGGCGUGCGAAGGUAGGCUCAGAACGGUCAGAAAUCGUUCGUAGAGUGCAAUGGCAUAAGCCUGCCUGACUGUGAGACUGACAAGUCGAGCAGAGACGAAAGUCGGUCAUAGUGAUCCGGUGGUUCUGAGUGGAAGGGCCAUCGCUCAACGGAUAAAAGGUACGCCGGGGAUAACAGGCUGAUACUGCCCAAGAGCUCAUAUCGACGGCAGUGUUUGGCACCUCGAUGUCGGCUCAUCACAUCCUGGGGCUGGAGCAG